CAAUUAUGGAGAUAUGGCCAGAGGCAUGAAACAUACGAAGCACUUUCUUCUCUUUUACCCAUAUACUUCCCUUAGGAACGCGUGAGCAGUGUGAGGAGGUUGAGUGAUACGAACUCGUUCAAUGGACUCAUAGCGUGAACGAAGAGAAAAAUACACAAAAGCAGUCCAGUGACGCCAUCAUAGGAAACAGCAAUUGACCACGAAUAUGACCAUCUAUUCCCGCUCGUGUUUUUGACGCUCGUCUUCGUUUUUACCUUAACUGCUGCCUCCUAGAUCUUGAUGCGGCAUUCACAGCAGGUGGCAAUGGCGGUCCCUGUGACUGUAACAUCCUUCACGGCUUCCGAGGAGCGCAA
Long non-coding RNA from Varroa destructor (honeybee mite), 353 nucleotides. Lineage: Eukaryota; Metazoa; Arthropoda; Arachnida; Mesostigmata; Varroidae. The record is from RefSeq and is a predicted model, not a curated record.